Zea mays is the source of this 167-nucleotide non-coding RNA. Lineage: Eukaryota; Viridiplantae; Streptophyta; Magnoliopsida; Poales; Poaceae. The record is from RefSeq and is marked provisional.
UGGCUGCUAGAUGGUGUGGCUGACAGAAGAGAGUGAGCACGCAUCGGCCAGACUGCAUCUAUAUACGGCUGCCCCAAAGCGACGGAUCGAUGGAUGCCUAGCCUAGGCCUAGGCGCAGCUGCUGUUGCGUGCUCACUUCUCUUUCUGUCAGCUCUCUCUCUCAUCCU